This 714-nucleotide ribosomal RNA is filed under the name uncultured Bacteroidales bacterium. Its description in RNAcentral is "bacterial SSU rRNA". It matches the Rfam family "Bacterial small subunit ribosomal RNA", at positions 52 to 756 of the family's 1533-position model. The record is from RNAcentral. Lineage: Bacteria; Pseudomonadati; Bacteroidota; Bacteroidia; Bacteroidales.
CACAUGCAAGUCGAGGGGCAUCAGGAAGAAAGCUUGCUUUCUUUGCUGGCGACCGGCGCACGGGUGAGUAACACGUAUCCAACCUGCCCUUUACUCGGGGAUAGCCUUUCGAAAGAAAGAUUAAUACCCGAUAGCAUAAUGAUUCCGCAUGGUUUCAUUAUUAAAGGAUUCCGGUAAAGGAUGGGGAUGCGUUCCAUUAGGUUGUUGGUGAGGUAACGGCUCACCAAGCCUUCGAUGGAUAGGGGUUCUGAGAGGAAGGUCCCCCACAUUGGAACUGAGACACGGUCCAAACUCCUACGGGAGGCAGCAGUGAGGAAUAUUGGUCAAUGGGCGUUAGCCUGAACCAGCCAAGUAGCGUGAAGGAUGAAGGCUCUAUGGGUCGUAAACUUCUUUUAUGUAAGAAUAAAGUGCAGUAUGUAUACUGUUUUGUAUGUAUUAUAUGAAUAAGGAUCGGCUAACUCCGUGCCAGCAGCCGCGGUAAUACGGAGGAUCCGAGCGUUAUCCGGAUUUAUUGGGUUUAAAGGGAGCGUAGGUGGACUGGUAAGUCAGUUGUGAAAGUUUGCGGCUCAACCGUAAAAUUGCAGUUGAUACUGUCAGUCUUGAGUACAGUAGAGGUGGGCGGAAUUCGUGGUGUAGCGGUGAAAUGCUUAGAUAUCACGAAGAACUCCGAUUGCGAAGGCAGCUCACUGGACUGCAACUGACACUGAUGCUCGA